GCGCUCGUAGCUCAGUUGGAUAGAGCGUUGGAUUCCUAAUCCAAAGGUCGCAGGUUCGAAUCCUGCCGGGCGUA
RNAcentral lists this transfer RNA (74 nucleotides) under Sedimentisphaera salicampi. It matches the Rfam family "tRNA". Rfam says of the family: Transfer RNA (tRNA) molecules are approximately 80 nucleotides in length. Their secondary structure includes four short double-helical elements and three loops (D, anti-codon, and T loops). Further hydrogen bonds mediate the characteristic L-shaped molecular structure. tRNAs have two regions of fundamental functional importance: the anti-codon, which is responsible for specific mRNA codon recognition, and the 3' end, to which the tRNAs corresponding amino acid is attached (by aminoacyl-tRNA synthetases). tRNAs cope with the degeneracy of the genetic code in two manners: having more than one tRNA (with a specific anti-codon) for a particular amino acid; and 'wobble' base-pairing, i.e. permitting non-standard base-pairing at the 3rd anti-codon position. The record is from Rfam by way of RNAcentral. Lineage: Bacteria; Pseudomonadati; Planctomycetota; Phycisphaerae; Sedimentisphaerales; Sedimentisphaeraceae.